RNAcentral lists this ribosomal RNA (253 nucleotides) under uncultured bacterium. RNAcentral describes it as "partial 16S ribosomal RNA". It matches the Rfam family "Bacterial small subunit ribosomal RNA", at positions 524 to 776 of the family's 1533-position model. The record is from RNAcentral.
UACGUAGGUGACCAGCGUUGUCCGGAUUUACUGGGCGUAAAGAGCGCGCAGGCGGUCGUUCAAGUCGAGUGUGAAAGCCCCCGGCUCAACUGGGGAGGGUCACUCGAUACUGAUCGACUUGAAGGCAGGAGAGGGAAGCGGAAUUCCCGGCGUAGUGGUGAAAUGCGUAGAUAUCGGGAGGAACACCAGUGGCGAAGGCGGCUUCCUGGCCUGUUCUUGACGCUGAGGCGCGAAAGCUAGGGGAGCAAACGGG